This 267-nucleotide unclassified non-coding RNA is filed under the name Hevea brasiliensis (rubber tree). The record is from RNAcentral. Lineage: Eukaryota; Viridiplantae; Streptophyta; Magnoliopsida; Malpighiales; Euphorbiaceae.
GGCAAAUUUUGCACAUUUUUCAGUAUUAUGAUGAAUUGGAUAUUUUUUUAAAAAAGAAGUGCGAGGUUAGAAUGCGAAAGGCUAACAAUUGAUGCGUGAAGCAAAAGUUAGAAGAAGAGUGAUGCAAGUAAUUCGAGUGGAAUGAUAAUGGAAAACUCUACAAGAACCUGCCACUGUUGUGUAUCAUUCAUUGCCGCCGCUGUUGUUGCCAUAUAUGCUAGAGAUGUUUGUCAUUCCUGCCUAGUAAUAUAAUUUGUGUUGAUGUGG